AAGGUAUGCAAGUCGAACGAUCCCUUUCUGAUUUCUAGUAACUUCGGUUGCUAGUUUUCUAUCUGGGAUAGUGGCAAACGGGUGAGUAACACGUAGAUAACUUGCCUCGAAGUCGGGAAUAGCUCGUCGAAAGACGGGGUAAUAUCCGAUGGUCUCUAACCACUUCGUGUGUUUUAGAGUAAAGCUUUUGUGCUUCGAGAGAGGUCUGCGUCCUAUCAGCUAGUUGGUAAGGUAAUGGCUUACCAAGGCUAAGACGGGUAGCUGGUGUGAGAGCACGGUCAGCCACCAUGGAACUGAGACACGGUCCAUACUCCUACGGGAGGCAGCAAUUAGGAAUCUUGCGCAAUGGGGGCAACCCUGACGCAGCGACACAGCGUGGAGGAUGAAGGUCUUCGGAUUGUAAACUCCUUUUAUAUGGGAAGAAUAGAUGACUGUACCAUAUGAAUAAGGACCUGCUAACUACGUGCCAGAAGCAUCGGUGAUGCGUAGGGUCCGAACGUUAUCCGGAUUUAUUGGGUGUAUAGAGAUGCGUAGGCGGUUUGAUAAGUCUUGAGUUAAAGACCUCGGCUCAACCGAGGAAAAGCUUUCGAUACUAUCAGACUUGAGGCAUAGAGGGGUGAACGGAAUUCCGAGUGGAGUGGUGAAAUACGUUGAUAUUCGGAGGAACAUCAGUGGCGAAGGCGGUUCACUGGCUAUUGCCUGACGCUCAGGCUCGAAAGCGUGGGUAGCAAAACGGAUUAGAUACCCGUGUAGUCCACGCUGUAAACUAUGGAUGCUAGGUGUUCGGUACAACUGUUUUUAAUCUUCGGAUUUUAAACGGGAGUGCUGAGUGCCGCAGCUAACGCGUUAAGCAUCCCACCUGGGAAGUACGGCCGCAAGGCU
RNAcentral lists this ribosomal RNA (882 nucleotides) under uncultured candidate division WS6 bacterium. RNAcentral's name for it is "bacterial SSU rRNA". It matches the Rfam family "Bacterial small subunit ribosomal RNA", at positions 50 to 895 of the family's 1533-position model. The record is from RNAcentral.